Molecule: long non-coding RNA, 158 nt
Organism: Haliotis rubra (blacklip abalone)
Lineage: Eukaryota; Metazoa; Mollusca; Gastropoda; Lepetellida; Haliotidae
Exons: 3
Source: RefSeq, a predicted model, not a curated record
UAUUGCCCUGCAUAAAACGUUAUUUCUGCCUCCCUGGAGUCUAUGAGCCGCUAUGUCAGCCCCAUCAACCCGGCUGUGUUUCCCCAUCUUACUAUUGUCCUGCUGGGGAUAGGCAUCUUCUUCAUGGCCUGGUUCUUUGUAUAUGAGGUAACAUCAAC